GGAUGAACGCUGGCGGCGUGCCUAAUACAUGCAAGUCGAGCGAACGGACGAGAAGCUUGCUUCUCUGAUGUUAGCGGCGGACGGGUGAGUAACACGUGGAUAACCUACCUAUAAGACUGGGAUAACUUCGGGAAACCGGAGCUAAUACCGGAUAAUAUUUUGAACCGCAUGGUUCAAAAGUGAAAGACGGUCUUGCUGUCACUUAUAGAUGGAUCCGCGCUGCAUUAGCUAGUUGGUAAGGUAACGGCUUACCAAGGCAACGUUGCAUAGCCGACCUGAGAGGGUGAUCGGCCACACUGGAACUGAGACACGGUCCAGACUCCUACGGGAGGCAGCAGUAGGGAAUCUUCCGCAAUGGGCGAAAGCCUGACGGAUCAACGCCGCGUGAGUGAUGAAGGUCUUCGGAUCGUAAAACUCUGUUAUUAGGGAAGAACAUAUGUGUAAGUAACUGUGCACAUCUUGACGGUACCUAAUCAGAAAGCCACGGCUAACUACGUG
Molecule: ribosomal RNA, 498 nt
Filed under: uncultured bacterium
Lineage: Bacteria
Description: partial 16S ribosomal RNA
Rfam family: Bacterial small subunit ribosomal RNA
Source: RNAcentral